This 207-nucleotide long non-coding RNA is filed under the name Callithrix jacchus (white-tufted-ear marmoset). Its description in RNAcentral is "lncRNA (ENSCJAG00000083663.1)". The record is from RNAcentral. Lineage: Eukaryota; Metazoa; Chordata; Mammalia; Primates; Cebidae.
CUUUCAGGCACAGUUUGAUAUAGGGGCCCAAAUGACGCCAAAGAACCCAGGAGCCUCAUCAGCUUGGAUUUGUACCCUCAAAUGUCGGUUUCUUUCUCUGCAGAUUUUCCUCUUACAACAGCGCUGCUGCCACAGUUUCAGACUUUGUACUGUCACAGCUCCAAAUUCACAGGACUGCAUUCAGUGGCAUGUAUUGAAAGCCCCAAC